RNAcentral lists this ribosomal RNA (1324 nucleotides) under metagenome. RNAcentral describes it as "bacterial LSU rRNA". It matches the Rfam family "Bacterial large subunit ribosomal RNA", at positions 1561 to 2925 of the family's 2925-position model. The record is from RNAcentral.
AGUGGAUGGGGAGCAACCUAGUUGUGCGUGUGUAAAGGUAGUGCCAAGAAAAGCGGUGAUCAUGAUGAAAAUCAAUUCCCGGUACCCGAAACCGACACAGGUGGGCAAGUAGAGAAUACUAAGGGGCGCGAGGUAACUCUCUCCAAGGAACUCGGCAAAAUGACCCCGUAACUUAGGGAGAAGGGGUGCCACCGAGAGGUGGUCGCAGUGAAGAGGCCCAGGCGACUGUUUAGCAAAAACAUAGGUCUCUGCAAACUCGAAAGAGGAGGUAUAGGGGCUGACGCCUGCCCAGUGCCGGAAGGUUAAAGAAGUUGGUCAGUCUUAGGAUGAAGCUAGCGACUGAAGCCCCGGUGAACGGCGGCCGUAACUAUAACGGUCCUAAGGUAGCGAAAUUCCUUGUCGGGUAAGUUCCGACCCGCACGAAAGGCGUAACGAUCUGGGCGCUGUCUCGGAGAGAGGCUCGGCGAAAUAGGAUUGUCUGUGAAGAUACGGACUACCUGCAUUUGGACAGAAAGACCCUAUGAAGCUUUACUAUAGCUUGGAAUUGUGUUCGGGCUUCCUGUGCGCAGGAUAGGUGGGAGGCGUAGAAGGUAUUCUUGUGGGGAUACUGGAGCCAACGGUGAGAUACCACUCUCAGGAGGCUAGAAUUCUAACUUAAUUAAGGACAGUUUCAGGUGGGUAGUUUGACUGGGGCGGUCGCCUCCAAAAAGGUAACGGAGGCGUACAAAGGUUCCCUCAGACUGGUUGGAAAUCAGUCGAAGAGUGCAAAGGCAGAAGGGAGCUUGACUGCGAGAAGUACAGUUCGAGCAGGGUGGAAACACGGUCUUAGUGAUCCGACGGUGCUGUGUGGAAGGGCCGUCGUUCAACGGAUAAAAGUUACUCUAGGAUAACAGGCUGAUCUCCCCCAAGAGUUCACAUCGACGGGGAGGUUUGGCACCUCGAUGUCGGCUCAUCGCAACCUGGGGCGGAAGUACGUCCCAAGGGUUGGGCUGUUCGCCCAUUAAAGCGGUACGUGAGCUGGGUUCAGAACGUCGUGAGACAGUUCGGUCCAUAUCCGAUGUAGGCGUGAGAAUAUUGAGAGGAGCCUUCCUUAGUACGAGAGGACCGGGAAGGACGCACCGCUGGUGUACCUGUUAUGAUGCCAAUUGUAAACGCAGGGUAGCCAAGUGCGGAGAGGAUAACCGCUGAAAGCAUCUAAGUGGGAAGCCCACCUCAAGAUGAGUAUUCUGGUGUAAGGUCACGGGAAGACGACCCGUAAAUAGGCACGAGGUGGAAGUGCAGAAUGUAUGAAGCCGAAGUGUACUAAUAGACCGUCGGCUUGACC